This 1372-nucleotide ribosomal RNA is filed under the name uncultured bacterium. RNAcentral's name for it is "bacterial SSU rRNA". It matches the Rfam family "Bacterial small subunit ribosomal RNA", at positions 28 to 1381 of the family's 1533-position model. The record is from RNAcentral.
GAUGAACGCUGGCGGCGUGCCUAAUACAUGCAAGUCGAGCGAACGGACGAGAAGCUUGCUUCUCUGAUGUUAGCGGCGGACGGGUGAGUAACACGUGGAUAACCUACCUAUAAGACUGGGAUAACUUCGGGAAACCGGAGCUAAUACCGGAUAAUAUUUUGAACCGCAUGGUUCAAAAGUGAAAGACGGUCUUGCUGUCACUUAUAGAUGGAUCCGCGCUGCAUUAGCUAGUUGGUAAGGUAAUGGCUUACCAAGGCAACGAUGCAUAGCCGACCUGAGAGGGUGAUCGGCCACACUGGAACUGAGACACGGUCCAGACUCCUACGGGAGGCAGCAGUAGGGAAUCUUCCGCAAUGGGCGAAAGCCUGACGGAGCAACGCCGCGUGAGUGAUGAAGGUCUUCGGAUCGUAAAACUCUGUUAUUAGGGAAGAACAUAUGUGUAAGUAACUGUGCACAUCUUGACGGUACCUAAUCAGAAAGCCACGGCUAACUACGUGCCAGCAGCCGCGGUAAUACGUAGGUGGCAAGCGUUAUCCGGAAUUAUUGGGCGUAAAGCGCGCGUAGGCGGUUUUUUAAGUCUGAUGUGAAAGCCCACGGCUCAACCGUGGAGGGUCAUUGGAAACUGGAAAACUUGAGUGCAGAAGAGGAAAGUGGAAUUCCAUGUGUAGCGGUGAAAUGCGCAGAGAUAUGGAGGAACACCAGUGGCGAAGGCGACUUUCUGGUCUGUAACUGACGCUGAUGUGCGAAAGCGUGGGGAUCAAACAGGAUUAGAUACCCUGGUAGUCCACGCCGUAAACGAUGAGUGCUAAGUGUUAGGGGGUUUCCGCCCCUUAGUGCUGCAGCUAACGCAUUAAGCACUCCGCCUGGGGAGUACGACCGCAAGGUUGAAACUCAAAGGAAUUGACGGGGACCCGCACAAGCGGUGGAGCAUGUGGUUUAAUUCGAAGCAACGCGAAGAACCUUACCAAAUCUUGACAUCCUUUGACAACUCUAGAGAUAGAGCCUUCCCCUUCGGGGGACAAAGUGACAGGUGGUGCAUGGUUGUCGUCAGCUCGUGUCGUGAGAUGUUGGGUUAAGUCCCGCAACGAGCGCAACCCUUAAGCUUAGUUGCCAUCAUUAAGUUGGGCACUCUAAGUUGACUGCCGGUGACAAACCGGAGGAAGGUGGGGAUGACGUCAAAUCAUCAUGCCCCUUAUGAUUUGGGCUACACACGUGCUACAAUGGACAAUACAAAGGGCAGCGAAACCGCGAGGUCAAGCAAAUCCCAUAAAGUUGUUCUCAGUUCGGAUUGUAGUCUGCAACUCGACUACAUGAAGUUGGAAUCGCUAGUAAUCGUAGAUCAGCAUGCUACGGUGAAUACGUUCCCGGGUCU